GGCGGACUUGCCCCCUUUCCGCUUCUUGGCUGGUUGGUCGGGGUGGCUUGACGCAGCUGGGCCUACCGAAGUUGGAGGUAAGCAUGGCCGCGUGCGAGGUGGAGCUGGCCUUGAAAUUGGACUUUUCCCUGCGGAGCCCCUUAAACAUUGCGCACCUCAAGCGUCCCGUGCUUGAGGUGGUCAACACAGGGGGGCAGAGGAUCCCUCUCACUGAAACCCGGGGCAGGGCUGCCGCUCUCUGCUUCCGGAUCCUGUCGUGAGAGACACGUGCUGGAGCUCCUGCUUGGUCCGGGAAGAGCCAUUUCGGUAUGUUCCAGUAAAAGCAAAAUCCUUGUCAUCUUACCCGCAAGGCCUUCCACAAAGUGUUCUGUCACUGAACAAGCUGGAAGCAAUAUUCCUUUAGGUAGAAGCAGAUGCCUGGGCGGUUAUCCAGAGUUUUGAGCAUCCCUCACCACUAGGAAGACCCAAGCAUCUGGAGUUUCUUGCACCCGGGUCCCACGCUUAAAUUAAAGCAGCAAUAUGGAAAGAUUCUUUAGUUUGGCAGGUACUAGUAAAAAGCAAGAACUUGUUGAGGAUGACAAAGAAGAAGUUGAUGAAGAAAGGAGCCGCAAAUACAGAAAACAAGAUGAAAGUUAUUUGUAUUUUGGUUUCAUUAAUGUGAACAAUGAAGAGCACCCACAGUGUGUUUUGUGUUUGAAAAUACUCCCUAUUGAAUGCAUGUUGCCUUGCAAAAUGAAACACCACUUAGAAAGUGUUUAUAAGAAUGAUGUGGGUAAACCAAUGGAAUAUUUCUCUAGAAAACUAAGUCAGGUGAAAGAAUCAGUAUUUAAUAAACAGGUUGCCGUCCUUUAGUAAAGCUCUUUUAGCAUCCUAUAAAUAACCUACCAGGUCGCAAAAUGUAAGAAACCCAUACAAUAGCAGAAGAACUCUAUUGAUAUGGUAUC
Long non-coding RNA from Podarcis raffonei (Aeolian wall lizard), 944 nucleotides. RefSeq lists it as uncharacterized. NCBI's taxonomy places the organism in Eukaryota, Metazoa, Chordata, Lepidosauria, Squamata, Lacertidae. The record is from RefSeq and is a predicted model, not a curated record. The transcript is spliced from 5 exons.